This 492-nucleotide ribosomal RNA is filed under the name uncultured bacterium. Its description in RNAcentral is "partial 16S ribosomal RNA". It matches the Rfam family "Bacterial small subunit ribosomal RNA", at positions 29 to 507 of the family's 1533-position model. The record is from RNAcentral.
AGUGAACGCUGGCGGUAGGCCUAACACAUGCAAGUCGAACGGCAGCACAGUAAGAGCUUGCUCUUAUGGGUGGCGAGUGGCGGACGGGUGAGGAAUACAUCGGACUCUACUUUUUCGUGGGGGAUAACGUAGGGAAACUUACGCUAAUACCGCAUACUACCUACGGGUGAAAGCAGGGGAUCUUCGGACCUUGCGCGAUUGAAUGAGCCGAUGUCCGAUUAGCUUGUUUGAGGGGUAAAGGCCCACCAAGGCGACGGUCCGUAGCUGGUCUGAGAGGAUGAUCAGCCACACUGGAACUGAGACACGGUCCAGACUCCUACGGGAGGCAGCAGUGGGGAAUAUUGGACAAUGGGCGCAAGCCUGCUCCAGCCAUACCGCGUGGGUGAAGAAGGCCUUCGGGUUGUAAAGCCCUUUUGUUGGGAAAGAAAAGCAGCAGGUUAAUACCCCGCUGUUCUGACGGUACCCAAAGAAUAAGCACCGGCUAACUUCGUG